Molecule: ribosomal RNA, 216 nt
Filed under: Escherichia coli
Lineage: Bacteria; Pseudomonadati; Pseudomonadota; Gammaproteobacteria; Enterobacterales; Enterobacteriaceae
Description: partial 16S ribosomal RNA
Rfam family: Bacterial small subunit ribosomal RNA
Source: RNAcentral
AAAUUGAAGAGUUUGAUCAUGGCUCAGAUUGAACGCUGGCGGCAGGCCUAACACAUGCAAGUCGAACGGUAACAGGAAACAGCUUGCUGUUUCGCUGACGAGUGGCGGACGGGUGAGUAAUGUCUGGGAAACUGCCUGAUGGAGGGGGAUAACUACUGGAAACGGUAGCUAAUACCGCAUAACGUCGCAAGACCAAAGAGGGGGACCCUCGGGCCU